GGAUUAGAUACCCUGGUAGUCCACGCCCUAAACGAUGAGAACUAGCUGUUGGGGACAUAAAAGUCCUUAGUAGCGCAGCUAACGCACUAAGUUCUCCGCCUGGGGAGUACGGCCGCAAGGUUAAAACUCAAAUGAAUUGACGGGGGCCCGCACAAGCGGUGGAGCAUGUGGUUUAAUUCGAAGCAACGCGAAGAACCUUACCAGGUCUUGACAUCCUCGGAACUUGGCAGAGAUGCCUUGGUGCCUUCGGGAACCGAGUGACGGGUGCUGCAUGGCUGUCGUCAGCUCGUGCCG
This 294-nucleotide ribosomal RNA is filed under the name uncultured bacterium. RNAcentral describes it as "partial 16S ribosomal RNA". It matches the Rfam family "Bacterial small subunit ribosomal RNA", at positions 775 to 1067 of the family's 1533-position model. The record is from RNAcentral.